GACGAACGCUGGCGGCGUGCUUAAUACAUGCAAGUCAACUGAACUUAGGAUAGCAAUAUUUUAAGGGAGGUGGCGCACGGGUGAGUAACACGUAGGUAAUCUGCCUUUAGGUCUGACAUAACCUACCGAAAGGUAGGCUAAAAUCAGAUGAUGCAGCGGCUCGACAUCGAGACAGUUGUUAAAUCUUCGGAGCCUAAAGAUGAGCCUGCGUCUGAUUAGGUAGUUGGCGGUGUAAUGGACCACCAAGCCUGCGAUCAGUAGCUGGUCUGAGAGGAUGAUCAGCCACACUGGAACUGAGACACGGUCCAGACUCCUACGGGAGGCAGCAGUAAGGAAUAUUGCUCAAUGGCCGAAAGGCUGAAGCAGCAACGCCGCGUGGAGGAUGAAAUACUUUGUAUGUAAACUCCUGUAAGAAGGGAAAAAUAGUCCUGAUUUAUCAGGAUUGAUUGUACCUUCAGAGUAAGCCCGGCUAACUACGU
This 479-nucleotide ribosomal RNA is filed under the name uncultured bacterium. RNAcentral describes it as "bacterial SSU rRNA". It matches the Rfam family "Bacterial small subunit ribosomal RNA", at positions 28 to 506 of the family's 1533-position model. The record is from RNAcentral.